GUGCUAAGUGGGAAAGGAUGUGGAGUUGCGAAGACAACCAGGAGGUUGGCUUAGAAGCAGCCAUCCUUGAAAGAGUGCGUAAUAGCUCACUGGUCAAGUGAUUCCGCGCCGACAAUGUAGCGGGGCUCAAGUACACCGCCGAAGUUGUGGAUUUCAGAUAGUAGACAAGCCUUCGUGGUUCAGUCGUCUGGAGUGGUAGGGGAGCGUCGUGUGGGCGGUGAAGUCGCGGUGUAAACCAGCGGUGGAGCCUACACGAGUGAGAAUGCAGGCAUGAGUAGCGAAAGACGGGUGAGAAACCCGUCCGCCGAAUGAUCAAGGGUUCCAGGGUCAAGCUAAUCUGCCCUGGGUAAGUCGGGACCUAAGGCGAGGCCGACAGGCGUAGUCGAUGGACAACGGGUUGAUAUUCCCGUACCGGCGAAGGACCGCCCAUGCCAAGCGGGGGAUACUAACCGCCCGGAGCCUGCCCAAUCACCCUUGUGGUGUGCGGGUUUUGGCCGAGCGCGGGACCUGAUCCCGGGAGGUAAGCGUAUUAACAGGUGUGACGCAGGAAGGUAGCCGGGCCGGGCGAUGGUUGCCCCGGUCUAAGGAUGUAGGGUCAGCGAUAGGCAAAUCCGUCGCUGUGUCUUUGAUGACGUUCCUGAGAUCUGAUGGGACCCCCGUCAUGGGGGGAUCCGGUGAUCCUAUGCUGCCUAGAAAAGCAUCGGCGCGAGGUUCUAGCCGCCCGUACCCCAAACCGACACAGGUGAUCAGGUAGAGAAUACCAAGGCGAUCGAGAGAAUUAUGGUUAAGGAACUCGGCAAAAUGCCCCCGUAACUUCGGGAGAAGGGGGGCCCCAACCUUGAACACCACUUGCUGGUGGGAGGGGAUCGGGGCCGCAGAGACCAGGGGGAAGCGACUGUUUACUAAAAACACAGGUCCGUGCGAAGUCGCAAGACGAUGUAUACGGACUGACUCCUGCCCGGUGCUGGAAGGUUAAGAGGACCGGUUAGCCGCAAGGCGAAGCUGAGAAUUCAAGCCCCAGUAAACGGCGGUGGUAACUAUAACCAUCCUAAGGUAGCGAAAUUCCUUGUCGGGUAAGUUCCGACCUGCACGAAUGGAGUAACGACUUCCCCGCUGUCUCAACCAUAAACUCGGCGAAAUUGCAGUACGAGUAAAGAUGCUCGUUACGCGCAGCAGGACGGAAAGACCCCGAGACCUUUACUAUAGUUUGGUAUUGGUGUUCGGAGUGGCUUGUGUAGGAUAGGUGGGAG
RNAcentral lists this ribosomal RNA (1250 nucleotides) under metagenome. RNAcentral's name for it is "bacterial LSU rRNA". It matches the Rfam family "Bacterial large subunit ribosomal RNA", at positions 1056 to 2153 of the family's 2925-position model. The record is from RNAcentral.